AGGGGGCCAUCCCGGCUUACCAACCCGAUGCAAACUGCGAAUACCGGAGAAUGUUAUCACGGGAGACACACGGCGGGUGCUAACGUCCGUCGUGAAGAGGGAAACAACCCAGACCGCCAGCUAAGGUCCCAAAGUCAUGGUUAAGUGGGAAACGAUGUGGGAAGGCCCAGACAGCCAGGAUGUUGGCUUAGAAGCAGCCAUCAUUUAAAGAAAGCGUAAUAGCUCACUGGUCGAGUCGGCCUGCGCGGAAGAUGUAACGGGGCUAAACCAUGCACCGAAGCUGCGGCAGCGACGCUGAUGCGUUGUUGGGUAGGGGAGCGUUCUGUAAGCCUGUGAAGGUGGCCUGUGAGGGUUGCUGGAGGUAUCAGAAGUGCGAAUGCUGACAUAAGUAACGAUAAAGCGGGUGAAAAGCCCGCUCGCCGGAAGACCAAGGGUUCCUGUCCAACGUUAAUCGGGGCAGGGUGAGUCGACCCCUAAGGCGAGGCCGAAAGGCGUAGUCGAUGGGAAACGGGUUAAUAUUCCCGUACUUGGUGUUACUGCGAAGGGGGGACGGAGAAGGCUAUGUUGGCCGGGCGACGGUUGUCCCGGUUUAAGCGUGUAGGUGUGUGUUCCAGGUAAAUCCGGUUCACUUUAACACUGAGGCGUGAUGACGAGGCACUACGGUGCUGAAGCAACAAAUGCCCUGCUUCCAGGAAAAGCCUCUAAGCAUCAGGUAACAUCAAAUCGUACCCCAAACCGACACAGGUGGUCAGGUAGAGAAUACCAAGGCGCUUGAGAGAACUCGGGUGAAGGAACUAGGCAAAAUGGUGCCGUAACUUCGGGAGAAGGCACGCUGACAC
This 839-nucleotide ribosomal RNA is filed under the name Salmonella enterica subsp. enterica serovar Kentucky. Its description in RNAcentral is "partial 23S ribosomal RNA". It matches the Rfam family "Bacterial large subunit ribosomal RNA", at positions 921 to 1757 of the family's 2925-position model. The record is from RNAcentral. Lineage: Bacteria; Pseudomonadati; Pseudomonadota; Gammaproteobacteria; Enterobacterales; Enterobacteriaceae.